RNAcentral lists this unclassified non-coding RNA (19 nucleotides) under Dictyostelium discoideum. The record is from RNAcentral. Lineage: Eukaryota; Evosea; Eumycetozoa; Dictyosteliales; Dictyosteliaceae.
CUGUAUUGCGGAUCUACUA